Unclassified non-coding RNA from Pongo abelii (Sumatran orangutan), 148 nucleotides. It matches the Rfam family "Metazoan signal recognition particle RNA". From Rfam's summary of the family: The signal recognition particle (SRP) is a universally conserved ribonucleoprotein. It is involved in the co-translational targeting of proteins to membranes. The eukaryotic SRP consists of a 300-nucleotide 7S RNA and six proteins: SRPs 72, 68, 54, 19, 14, and 9. The record is from Ensembl. NCBI's taxonomy places the organism in Eukaryota, Metazoa, Chordata, Mammalia, Primates, Hominidae.
GCUGGGCGUGGUGGCGCACACCUGUAGUCCCAGCUACUCAGGAGGCUGAGACAGGAGAAUAGCUUGAACCCGGGAGGUGGAGGUUGCAGUGAGCCGAGAUUGCGCCACUGCACUCCAGCCUGGGUGACAGAGCAAGACUCCGUCUCAA